CUAACCAAAUGCAAUCAAAGAGGUACGAUAUACGAAAGACAAGCAAACAAUGACAUGUAGAGACUAAAAUACGGGAAUAGAAAAACAGGAGAAGGAGGUGAAACGCUCUCACCGACUACCAGCUCGAAGCACCCACCUGUCACUGUCGCGUCAGAACACUGGGUACGCACAACUCUACCGGACCUAAGAAGAUCCACCAAGUCANUAUACUUUCGAAUGCCACUCGAUCUAUGCUCUUGUGUUACUUUGUUCUUUUAUCUCAUUAGAUUCUCACAUUACCUCUCAUGCAUAUAUAGGGUGUUAUAGGUUCUCAACCAACUAGAAAUGCACGUGUACUCACAUCAUGCAACAUUUACAUAAUUAUCAUCACAUUUUACCCUACAAUGCAUGCAACAACAUAUACAUAAAUGCUCAAUUAAAUGACACAUUAGGCAUAGAGGGAAUUCCAACAAGUUUGAAUAGCACCACCCACCUCGUAGGCGUACUAGGAUGCUACAAUGAUUUUCUUGGAAUUUCUAGACUCCUAGUUCGUCACCUACGGCAAAACGAAGCCCUAUUAGGCCAUUUUGCUCAUAUCUUUACAUUGGCUCUUCGUAACGUCAAUGCAAGCACACCAACGCGUCGAAAAUACCCCCAAUUAGGUUUCUAGAGGGUCAAUUUCAUUUCAGAACCCUCAUAAGCAAAAGCUCCAAUUUGGGUGCCCUAGCUCAUAACAUGUAUCAAACCUAGGGUUUGAUCUCAUAGAGAAGCAAAAGUAAGCUUCAAAUCAUGUAAAGGUUCCAUUUGAACCAUCCUUAGCUCAAUCAAAACCCAUUUUAGGGUUUGACCAUGAGAGGGGUUGAAGCUUACCUUCAAGCUUCACCACCUCCACCCAAUCUAUGAUUUUGAUCUCUAAAAGAAGCAAAAGAUAACUCCAAAUACCCAAUAGGUUCCAUUAAAACCAUUUCUAGGUCACUUAGUUCUCAUUCUAGGGUUUUACCAUGAUUAGGGUUCAAGCUUACCUCUAAGCUUGCUCCUUUGUUGCUCCAAAGAAGAAGAAGAGGAGAAAGCUUCACUUCUUGGCUUCUUCUUCUCCACCUUCUUCUUCUUCUUUCCCUUCUUUCCCUUGUCUUCUUCGUCUCCUUCUUGUCUUCUAGAGAGAGAAAGAGAGAAGAGAGGGAGUGUGAGGAAGAGGGAAUGAGAAAUAAGCCCUCAUGACCCCACAUGCAUAGCCCAUAUAUUGCAUAAAUGCAAAUAAACCCCUCAGCUUUUAUCUUAUUACACUGCUCAAACUGGGUAGAUUUCGUGUUCGGGGAUCGGUCUCCCCGACUUGGGACCGGUCCCAGAGAGCUCUCCCGCAGCUCAGCGGGGGCUUUCGCACGAGGCAACCGGUCUCUCCCAGGGAGACCGGUCUCUCGGUGACCGGUCUCUCCCCGCAGGGACCGGUUCCUGAGAGCUAGUUUUCUGGGACUUAGCCGAUUUUCAACCUUUCUCAGUUUUCACGCGUUCGGGGACCGGUCUCUCCCACUAGGGACCAGUCCCCGAGAGCACAAAACCUGCAGAAUGCAGAUUUUUGAUUCUUUAGCUCUCGAAAACCUCCCACAAUGCACUUUUGAUCCUUUUAACACCUUCGGACUUUUCGAAGUGUACCAUCCUCGCACUUUGGUCAACUUGACUAAAGUUCGAUAUUUAUUUUCGGAAUUCUCGGUAUAUUACACACAAGAUAACACCACUACACAAUUAUCGCCGAAUAAUUGUAUGAAUCCCGGUUCCCGAAAGUGUCUAUUUCGACAGCGGAACCCACCGUCGCUCACCCUUCAUCACCGAACUCACAAAAUGAUGAUGGUGACGUGCCAACAAGGCUCAGCGAUAAUUUACAGGAUAACCAAACCACGUCGGAAGGAAUCCGAACCGAAACCGCGUUCUUUCGGCGAAUUUCGCCGAAAAACGCGCCGGAAUCGACUUUUCGAUUUCCGCAAAAGCUAUCAGAUCAUGGACAAUCAGUUCGAAGGUCACCAUACACACCAACGCACAGCCCACAGUAGCCACAAGGUGUACAAAUGCAUAAAAGUCCCUAUGUUUACAUAAAAUCCAUCAUUUUAUGUAAAUCGGGCGACUUCUAUGACUCGUUCUCACAAACCGAGGACUUCUAAAUUUUGCCGAGACACGUACUGACAGGUCUCGACGUGCCGGAGGCCGUGCUCACGGUCUGGAGCGCAACAGCUCACUGUGAGAAGCGCGGGAGCAACCCGAAAAUUCUGCGAACAGCGCGCAGUCGGCGAAACGCACCAAACAGAACGAUACGACAUCCGCUGAUCCAAAAUAAGGUGAGCACUGUGAUCAGCACUGAUCCACGAUCACCGUGCUCACCUCCAGAGGCAUCGAAACUGUUAGUUAUAUACCCUAUAAGCCAAUCUUGUCAUAACUUAAAGGGUUAAUAUCAGUGUACUUUUCUUUUAUGAUUAAAUCUGGCAUUCUUCAUUCAUAUUAUUGCCGAAUGCAUAUUUAUGAAUCGUCCAUAGAAUUAAUAGUAGAAGAAUUAAAUUUCUAAGAAGUUAGAAAUUUGAGACUUUUAUUCUUCUGUAAUUAAUUCUUAAAUGCUCCUGAUCAUAGGAUUAUAACGAGGGCAGUGGUAAAUCCAGAUAGAUCAGUGUAUGCUGUACUUCCUUUAUGGAAUGACGAGUCUCAAAUCAUUAGUGUGGUGACACUAGAGUAAGCAUACAGGUGAAUGUUGGAGAACAAUUUCACUGAGCGUGACCAACUAUGAACAAUCACAUGGAUGUCUACUCACUCGUCAAUGAAUUGUUCCAUACUGUAGUAGUGUGAGUGAUCCUUUGACCUGAGGCACCACGGUUAUCUUGCGUGUGGGUUAUUGUAGUUUGACUGUGUAAAUACUUAUACCCUAAUCAUGGGUUAAGUCAACACAUGUUGGCUGCAGUGGGUCAUACGUGGAGGUAGGUGUGUGUCAAGAUGGAAUCUAUCACCCUCGGUAGAGAGGUAAUUGUCCUAUACUAUCUAUUUUACAAGAUAUAAAAGUCCUUGGCCAAGGCAAUAUGAUUUUAUGGAAAAGAGUUUCCAUAUUGUUAAUCAGAUGAGACAUAUGAUUGAGUAAUGGGGUUUGACGAGUAAUCCAUAACCUCGGCUCAAUCGGGACAAGUGAUAGAAGGAUUUUAUCACACGGUAACUACACCUAGAGGUUCCGUCUAUUAUUAAUUCUACUUGGAUUGCCACGAUAUACUGCUAGGUGUCACUCGUGGAUUGUGGGACCCAUGAGAGUAAUUAAGAUAGUUAAUUACACUCAGUUGGGAGAGCCAAAAAUGUUUUGGUCCAUCGAGAAGAGUUCCGAUGGUGACAUUAAAAGAGUUUACUGUCACAUCUCACUACUAGGUAGAAUUGAACCUAUGUGGUCACACACAAUAAAGGCUGCGUGUGAUCUGGUGCUUGGAGAAUUAAUAGAGACUAUUUUGCUAAAGUAGUAAAGCAAGAAUUUAUUUGCUAAGGUGGUUAGCAGAAACUCUAAUUUGAAAGGAUAAAAUUUGUACGGAGUGACCUAAUACUAAAUUUGAUUUAGUAUAAGAACUUAUUGCAAAAGUUGCAACAAACGAGAGAGAAAACUUAUGACUCUCUCUUUUUCGGGUUCUUUAAUUAAGAGGAGAGGUAGAGAAAAAGAAAACCAUGCAUCAUACAUUUAUUAAAGAAAGAAAACUUUUCUCCGUAUUAAUUGGCGUAUUAAGUGGAGAAGAGUUUUCGUUUUCUUUUCACUCUCUCUUUCCGCUUCGUCACUAAAUGAGAGGAGUUUACUUUCCUUUCAUUUAUGACGGCGGUUUUCUUUCUUUUCUCUUCGCUCUGUUUCUCGCCAUAAGGAGAGUUUAUUCUCACAUCAUUUAUGGGCCUUAUGCCUAUAGAAGAGAUUGGGAAUAAUCUCUCUCUAUAAUGACAACGCAAAAGCAAAGAGCGAGAGAAAGAGAGAAAAUUCUCCCAAUCAUAUAAAGCUCUCUUUUAAUAAUAAGAGAGUGGUCCUCCAAUAUUAAUUAGUCUCUAUAGUUAAUCCUCUUCAAAUUGCUAGCAUAAUUUUGAGGAUUAAUUUUUCUCCACAUUAACAUAAGAAAUCACGAAAGGAGUUUCGAGAUUACACUGUGAUUGUGUGAAGCACAGAUCUCAGAGCAGCCUUGUGUGGAUACAUGUAGAGGCCGAACACUUGUGCGGCUCAAAGGACCAGAAGUUCAGAUCCAAAUCAACUGUGAAAUAAUUUCGGUAAUUUGCACAGGUUGAAAUUCGAACCCUUAUUCUAAUUAGAUUAGAAUAAUUAUUUUUGUGUGUCACACGAGAUGAUCUUGGUACAUAUAUAUAUAUAUAUAUAUAUACUAAUAUCAUAAAUGUUAUGAUAUUAAAGUAUACAUGAUUGGAUCAUAUUUUAUAAAUUAAAAUUUAUUUCCGCUGCAUUAAAUGCACAUGUAGAUGCAUACAUUUACUUACAGGAACAGCCUCGGAUCGUCGUAAAAAUGUGCAUAAUCCUGAAACAGUAGCCAAAAAGGCUCUAACGGAGCGACACCGCUGAAACAGCGGAAAGGAGUCUCCCCGACAAAAACUAAGGUGAGCACGAUGAUCAGCAAUUUGCCACGAUCACCGUGCUCCCUUCCGUAGAGAUUAGGGAGGCUCGGUAAGCUCAGAACAGCAAACUACUAAGGAAUAGCCCUAUUUCGGGCUUGGCUGGAGCAAGCUUGCUCCGGCCGACUUUCGGCAGCACGGCGUGGUGCGUGCGGGCCAGGAAUGCGGGCCAGGAAUGGGUGCGGGGGAGGUAGGGAGUGUGGUGCUCACCUCAAUUGGCGGCGAGGAGCGGCGGCGGCGACUGCGGAAAAAGACAAGCCCGGACGAGUUGAAGCUCGGGUUCCAGAGCAAUGGCGGCCACGGCGGCGGCCGGGGCACCACGGGGCGACAGCGGGGGGUCGCCUGAGGUUGGCGGGAGGCUGCACGGGUGUAGCUAAACUCUCUGUUGACGAUGUUUUUGUGUGUAAUUUAAUUACAAAAGCACUCGUCAAGUUUCGGGAGAAAACGAGUUAGAACGGAGAUUCUACGCGAUUUCCAAGUUUCACUUAAAGUGAAUAGUAACUUGGUUUUUCGGAUAGCUCAAUGCGUAGAGUUGGCUUCUGGCUCGUACCGAACUCUAUUCAUAGCAGUCCAAUAGCUCGUUUUGACCGGUUUAACUGUUCUGGAACUAAUAGCGGAUUUUGAGUUGACGCACGAAUUUCGAGAAAAUCCGAAAAUACAUGUUUUAUAUGUAUUUGUGCGUAGCACGCCCCGGGGCCGAUUUUAAAAGCCUUUUUAAAAAUUCAUUACCAUUUUGAAAUAGAGUUGCGGAAGACGUGCUAUUUUUAUUUUAUUUUUUUCAACCUGGCCUACGUGAUGUACAGAUCCGCCACAAAUACAAAGUUCCUCUGUCCACUCGGACAGAGUCUCCUUUGUAUUUGCACGGCGUACCAACUAUACAACAGGAUCUCAACCACAACCUACAUUUACCAAUCAACAACCAAUUCAUGAUAUGCAUUUUUAUACAGCUAACGAUCCUUAGAGAUGAUGCAUGUCUCUAAGCACUCCUUAGGAGCUGGAUGAUGCAAUGUACAAUACAACAAACAUCCUAUUUAAAAGUGCUCCUGACCCGGAAGCUUUGUUUUUGAAAUCUAUUUCAGUCAUCCAUGAAAACCAUUCAAAAAUCUUUUUAAAACUGUUUCCCACUCGGAAACUCUAUUUUGAAAACCGACUACCUUGAGGGGUAGAAAACCACAAUGCAUAAGGAUAUAAAUGAAUGAACUGAAUAUCUAUAAAACUAGAUCCACAAAUCCACAAUCUAAAAUCACAUGCAUAAGGAAAACAUCACAGAUCCACUGAAGCCAAAUCACCAACAUUCAAACAAACAUGAGGAUCGUCUAAUUGAACCAUUUAUUAUUAAAACUACUAAGUGCCGAAAUGAAAGUAACCAGGAUGACGGUUGCUAUACCAGACAAGCUAGAUCGUCCUCCCGUCGAGCCCAAAAUCUAACUCCUUGUCCAUGUCACCUGGGGGGAAUGGGGGGUGAGAAACCGCAACCAUGGUUUCUCAGUGGGUACGACAGAGCCACGAAGGCAAGCCGUAAUCUCCGAAAACAAAAGGAGAUAGAUAAACAAAUAUAUAUGCUGAUAUGAAACAGAACUACAGAUAUGAGCAUGAUGUGAUAUAAGAGCAACUACAGUAGUAAUAGAAACAGGAUAAUAACUGAGCAAGAACGAAACUACUACUGUAACCAAAAACUCAACUGAUCGAAUGCCUCAAGGGUAAAUAGUCCAAACCAAACCCAAUCUGAUGCUGCUAUAUUGGUCCGCAGACCUCAAGCGUUCCCUGUCACAGAGCAGACACUGCCCACUUAUUCAUGCGUCACCGACGACCUAUCCGGAUACGUACACCCCUUGGUUGGUGGCCAAACCAACCUGGUGUCUAGAAUACACAGUGCUAUGACUAAAUCAUGCUGAUAUGAUCAAAACGAAAACUGGCAAAAAGAGACCGGUGCCUUGGCCGAAGCCAGGUGCAAGGGCGUGCAACGCCGAACCAUGAUCAACCAGAUCGAAACACACGACAAAAAAGUCGAUGUGUUGCCUGGACCCAAGGUCCACAGAUAUACAGUAUAUAUAUGCAACCUGCUCUACAUGUCUAUCAACAACUAACAAAAUGCAACCAAUAAAGUAAAUAUACGAAUGAUAAUCAAAGCAAAGACAUGUAGAGACUACGAUACUGAUAUGAAAGAAUAGAGGAAAGGUGAAACGAUCUCACCGACUACCAGCUUGAAGCACCCACCUGUCACAGUCGCGUCGGAACACUGGGUACGCACAGCGUCUACCGGACCUAAGAAGAUCCACCAGGUCAGUAUCCAAACCACUAACCCAAAGCACGAGACUCAUAAACCCCC
Molecule: long non-coding RNA, 6916 nt
Filed under: Ananas comosus (pineapple)
Lineage: Eukaryota; Viridiplantae; Streptophyta; Magnoliopsida; Poales; Bromeliaceae
Description: long non-coding RNA (ACOM_LNC041985)
Source: RNAcentral